GACGAACGCUGGCGGCGUGCUUAACACAUGCAAGUCGAACGAAGAGCGAUGGAAGCUUGCUUCUAUCAAUCUUAGUGGCGAACGGGUGAGUAACGCGUAAUCAACCUGCCCUUCAGAGGGGGACAACAGUUGGAAACGACUGCUAAUACCGCAUACGAUCUAAUCUCGGCAUCGAGGAUAGAUGAAAGGUGGCCUCUACAUGUAAGCUAUCACUGAAGGAGGGGAUUGCGUCUGAUUAGCUAGUUGGAGGGGUAACGGCCCACCAAGGCGAUGAUCAGUAGCCGGUCUGAGAGGAUGAACGGCCACAUUGGGACUGAGACACGGCCCAGACUCCUACGGGAGGCAGCAGUGGGGAAUCUUCCACAAUGGACGAAAGUCUGACGGAGCAACGCCGCGUGAGUGAUGACGGCCUUCGGGUUGUAAAGCUCUGUUAAUCGGGACGAAAGGCCUUCUUGCGAAUAGUGAGAAGGAUUGACGGUACCGGAAGAGAAAGCCACGGCUAACUACGUG
RNAcentral lists this ribosomal RNA (510 nucleotides) under uncultured bacterium. Its description in RNAcentral is "partial 16S ribosomal RNA". It matches the Rfam family "Bacterial small subunit ribosomal RNA", at positions 28 to 507 of the family's 1533-position model. The record is from RNAcentral.